UGAUGUUUUAUCUGUGGUGUUUUGCACAGGGGUUUUGUGUUCUCGUAGGAAUACUCUGAGGUAGUUUUUUGUCAAUGCGAUGCAGUUUGGGAAGUUGUCUUGCCCUCUUUUGUGUAUGCAACCUCCUCCCUUCAUCUGUCGUGACUAGACAGAUGAAAAUCUAUUACAUCAAUUUUGCCUUUAAGGUCAUUUUCUUUGAUUUCUUUGAUUGCUCUAUCUAUCUAUUUAUUUAUUUAUUUUAACAGGCUCUGUACUAAUUUUCCUGACAGAAUGACUAACAGAAAUACAAUUCUUGUGCACCUUUUGUAGUUAAUUCAUUAGGUCAACUCUAACCACUAAGCCCCUUGUCAGGUUAUUUCUAUUAGUGAUACGGAGCAAUUGACUUUAAAAGACUGAAGCCAGGUAGAGGAGCCUAUUCCACAAGGUCUCUUGGCUCCAGCCUUGUGAAGUGAAAUCUGCCAGGUGUGGGUAAUUUGACCUUUACUAUAUAGGAAACAUGAGGACUUAUGGGAGGAGUUGCCUUCCCAGGGGGAGUUUGAGUCUCAGGUUACCUAGGGUGCUUUUUCUCCUGUCCUGGUGAAAUGAACUCAGUGUUCCCCAGUAGGCUGCUUUUUCUUCGUUUUCUACCAUCUCUGUGAAAUAGUUUUAGAGACUAUGAGCUAGUUACGUUGGUGGUGCCUUCUCAGGACAGGAAAAUCCUGGUGGUGCUACUUCCCUGCAAAGUAGUUUGGCAGUGACUCAAGCUCAGAAUCUGGCAGGUAAGUGUUCCUGGGUCUUACAGUUGCUUUGUGUUGGGGAGUUUGAGUACUUCCUUCACCUUGUCUGUUUUCAGUGAAGUUACUUACGUGGAUUCUGAGCUUCCUUCCCAGCCCUUAAAAUAAAACAAUAAAAAAUAACCUCAGAAGCUCAAGUACAUGCAGGUAAGGCUGAUUUUGAACAUUGGUUACAUGACUACAUUGCUGUUGUGGUUUCCCCUGGCCAGCAGCUAACACCACAGCCAUUCACUCGCCCUGCCCUCUCCUUCUCUGGGAUUGGGGAGAGAAAUAGUAAAAAGAAGCCUGUGGGUCGAGGCAGAGACAAUUUAAUAAGUGAUGCACAAUGCAAUUGCCAACCACCUAUUAGUCUGGAAUCAGAAUUGUCAUAGUCCAAAAGCUUUAAAUUGGUUAAAUCCCUGAAAGUUAAUUAGUGUAAACUCACGUUGCAUCACUGAACUUGAAGCAGUAGGAUAGACUUGCACCAUUGCAGAGCCUCAGUCACGGAUUAAAUUGCCAUUGCCUUUAACUCUGCACUUAUACAAGAAUGAAAGAGAAAAGCACACCUUUCUACUUUGUCAGCUAAUGGCAGACCUACAGAAAAAAGAAGUUGUUAUUUAAAAAGUUAUGAUGUUUUAAGGCAUUUCACCAAAUCUGUAAUAUUUGGUAGUAAGCAGACAACAAAUGAAAGGGAAGAGGAAACAGUAGAAAGUACAUGUACUUGCAUGGCCUUAAUUUACGUGACAAUUGACAACAAUGACAAUCUACAAUGAUUUACAAGUCCCUUCCACCAUUCACCCUUGGGACUCUGGGGACCAGAAAUUCUCCCCCUCUCCCUGCCACACAUAACUCUCCUACCUCUCAACACAUCUGUGCAUGACACGCUUUCGAAUUUCUUUAACCUUUGACAAAACCUCAAGUGCAUUCUGGAGACAUACCAAGAAGAAUGUGCUCGUCUGAACAUCCCAAUAGUCGAAGCUCUGGAAGGCUACCAUAACUCACCUGAAGGAGAAGAAAGGGAGAAUGAACAAGGGGGAAAACACAUCUUCCCCUGACCCUACCUCAGAAACUAUUAACAAUGACGCCUUUCACACUUUUUCUUCAGGGAGCCUGUCUAUGAAGGGAACAGGACUGGCUCCCCCAGGUCGUCUGGCUCCCCCCUGGUAGAGUCCAUCUCCUUGUCUACAUACAGAAAGCUAUCUUCUGUGAGAUGAGUCUGCAAAACAUUCAGAUAAGCAUGUCCUUUUUUUUUCUUCUCUAUAAACACCAAUACUUACAGAACAGUUUUUUGUUGUUGUUGUUUUUAUUUCUUAUUACAAAAAACUGUUCUGUGGACUUCUCAGGUUCAGAACAAUUCUAGAGUUUAGACUAUGUAGGCUGGAUGAUUUAAAUCCCUUCAUGAUCUUAUUCACAAGCAAAGGUGCAUGAUUUUCUGUGAAGGCUUUUCUGUUUUUUCUUGCUAGGCUAACAUUUGCCUUCAAAAGUUUAGACAUUGAAGAAAAGUCAAAAUACAGUACUUGUUAGCAUAUAAAAAGCCUGGUGUAUACUAAGCGUAUAUAGUGUAUACACUAUAGUAUACACUAUACUAUAUAUAAGCAUAUAAAAAGCCUGGUGUAUAUGCACAUGUGUUCUGAAGCUGCAUAGGUAUGAAUAGACUAAGAAGUAUCAUUAAAUGUUGUACAUGCACAAGAUGACAUCCGAAACUAGCUCUGAAUCUACAAAAGCUCCUUUUUUCCUGCACCGAGGAAGUAAACUUAUUCCUCUCUUCAACAAGAAGUUAAAGAUUACUUAGUUAAUGAAAAAGCACUUAACUGCAUAAUUUCUCUUUCAGAUUACCAUUAUUAAUAGAGGAUGGACUUAAGUUCUGCAAGGUGGGGAAAAAUUGUAGCAGUGUUCUGAUAACCCAGCAUAUGACAUACAACGAUACAAAAAACAAAAACAAAAAAACCCACUCCUUCAUAUA
Molecule: non-coding RNA, 2715 nt
Organism: Anas platyrhynchos (mallard)
Lineage: Eukaryota; Metazoa; Chordata; Aves; Anseriformes; Anatidae
Source: RefSeq, a predicted model, not a curated record